Molecule: long non-coding RNA, 1238 nt
Organism: Lycium ferocissimum
Lineage: Eukaryota; Viridiplantae; Streptophyta; Magnoliopsida; Solanales; Solanaceae
Exons: 3
Source: RefSeq, a predicted model, not a curated record
AUAGGUUGAGAGAAAAUGAUGAGUUUGUGAAUAAGUGGUAUGGUUUAGUCAGUCCUAAUAUAAUGAAGUUGUAUAAUGAAUAUUUGAAAAUAGCCCAAGUGUACAAGGUCAAUGGCAAUGGAGACAGUGGAUAUGAGGUAACAUAAGGACAUGAUAGACAUGUGGUGAAUUUGAGGCAAAAGCGGUGUACUUGUAGGACAUGGGACCUUACUGGAAUCCCAUGUCCACAUGCAAUCAAGGCCAUGAUUCACAAGAAAAUUGACCCUAUUUCUGAGAUACAUUGGUAUCAUAGCAAGGAGGCAUUCAAGCUAGCAUACAAACACAAGUUGCGGCGGCCAGGGGCGUACAGUUUUGGAAUGUUGACCCUUCUCAGGCCAUGGAACCACCAACUUUGGUCAAACUUGCCGGCAGACCCAGGAUUAAGAGGGAUAGAGGGAAAGAUGAGGCCCUUAACAGGCAAGGUGAAUGGAAGCCUUCAAGGAAAGGUAGAGUGAUGACUUGUAGCAACUGUGGAGAGCCAAAUCAUAAUGUUAGGGGCUGUGGCAAGCCAAAGAAAGGCAAGCAACAAGCUAAGAAAAGGUAACCUGCUAGGGGCAAAAAGAGGCAGACUCGGGGCUUAGUUGAUGAAGAUGAAAAUUCCCAAGUUGAAGAAGAAAUCAACUUAACAGCCCCCCAACCAACCCAAGACAGUCAGCCCAUGCCUUUAGCAAAGACCUCAUUUCCUAACUUUGAAUAUCCUUCGGUUGAGAAGAUGAUGAAGACCCUUUUCUAAGGCCCAUAGUGAUUUCUGAAUUUUCCACAAGACUUCAAAUGAGGCAGAAAGCACAAGAACCAACAGGUAGAAGGGCAAUAAGCUUUAGAGGUGACCACAAUGGUGUUAGUGAGGCAACCAAUCUUCCAGUCUCAUUAACAAGCAACUUGGCAAGGAAUGAUGCGGUUACUACCAACCGGUUGGAGGCUAAAGCUCAAGAGAGGAUUGGGAAGUUGAAUCCAAGAAGGGGACCUAACAGUUGAUUUAGCUUUAUGAAAUGUUAUUGUUUUUGUGAAUUAUGGUGAUGUAUUUACUGCUUAAGACAAAGAUUUUAAUUUGCUAAUUAUGUAAUGGUCAAACUAAAUGGAUGCCACAUUAUGACUUGGGAUGUAUUAGUUUUUGGGGUUAUAGUGUGGCAUCCAUACAACUAUUGGCUUAUUUUGUGUUGUGGUUGGCAGUUUCUUUAGCAUAUUUAUGGUGUUUGAAA